This 1038-nucleotide long non-coding RNA is filed under the name Brassica rapa (field mustard). RNAcentral's name for it is "long non-coding RNA (BRAP_LNC002765)". The record is from RNAcentral. Lineage: Eukaryota; Viridiplantae; Streptophyta; Magnoliopsida; Brassicales; Brassicaceae.
GACAGAGAACAAAAAAAUGAAGGUAUUUGGAACAAACCCAAUCUGCACAAGAAUAUAAGGCUUUGAAUAGGCUGGGUGUUAGAUAGAUUACAUCCCUCGAUAAUGUCCAUCAGAAAAACCAAAUUUGGUCCAAUUAAUGAGGGCGAGUCAAAGAAAAUCAAGUCCGUUAGAGAGAAAAGAAAAGAAGCCCACUAUAAUAAAAUAAAGAGAAAAUUGGAAAAAAUGGACACUUUGAACUUAGAUUUGUCCCAAUAAGAUUUUUAGAAGAUUAUUUAGGGAAAUAGGAUUUAGAUUAAUGUUAAUACCAUUAUACCCUUAAAUUAUUCAAUUUAUUUUAGAUAAAAACCAAUAAAUAAAAUAUUUCGUAAUUAAUUUAAUAUUAAAAUUUAAAAAAAAAACAGAAGGAAAAAAAAUAAACCCACGAGAGAAAACAAAAGCACUUAAAUGGUUUUACCCUAUUUUUUCUUCGCUUUACUCCUUUCUCUAGCGUAACUUCAACCUGUAUCAAUGGCGAUUAGGGUUAUGGAGAAUCCUUGUUCAUCGGAAAUCAUCUAUAUCCCUCUAGCGCCUUCGAAAAUCUUUGAUUUGUUCAAAUUUUUUUGAAAAUCAGUGAUUUCUUCUUCUGGGUUUGUAUAGAAAAUCAUUCUAGGUUUGUUUCUUCUUUGAUUCAUCUGUUUUUGAUCGAUCUGUAUGGGAUUUAGGGUUUCUUCUUCUGUAUUUAUCGAAUCUGUUUUACAAUGAUUUUUUGUCUUUUUGAUAUGUUUCAUUGAAAAGAAAAUUGUUUUCUUCUUAGAUGAUGAGUCUGUUGAGAAGAAAGAAGAGGAGAAAGAAGAAGAGGAGGAUAAGGGAGAAGGGACUUUGACUUGAGGUAUUAUCUUUUAGUAUCUAAUGUUUUGUAAGUUUAUGUUGAUACUUGACUUGAGCCUUGAGGUAUAACUCUGAGCACUGCUUACUUGCUUAGUGACUUAGUGUUGUCGAGAGAAUGUUGUUAUCAUAUCUCUGUUCUUGGAUUGCAUCCUUGCUGUCUUUGUAAUUUUU